Molecule: ribosomal RNA, 455 nt
Filed under: Streptococcus mitis
Lineage: Bacteria; Bacillati; Bacillota; Bacilli; Lactobacillales; Streptococcaceae
Description: bacterial SSU rRNA
Rfam family: Bacterial small subunit ribosomal RNA
Source: RNAcentral
UAAUACAUGCAAGUAGAACGCUGAAGGAGGAGCUUGCUUCUCUGGAUGAGUUGCGAACGGGUGAGUAACGCGUAGGUAACCUCCCGGUAGCGGGGGAUAACUAUUGGAAACGAUAGCUAAUACCGCAUAAGAGUAGAUGUUGCAUGACAUUUGCUUAAAAGGUACAAUCGCAUCACUACCAGAUGGACCUGCGUUGUAUUAGCUAGUUGGUGAGGUAACGGCUCACCAAGGCAACGAUACAUAGCCGACCUGAGAGGGUGAUCGGCCACACUGGGACUGAGACACGGCCCAGACUCCUACGGGAGGCAGCAGUAGGGAAUCUUCGGCAAUGGACGGAAGUCUGACCGAGCAACGCCGCGUGAGUGAAGAAGGUCUUCGGAUCGUAAAGCUCUGUUGUAAGAGAAGAACGAGUGUGAGAGUGGAAAGUUCACACUGUGACGGUAUCUUACCAGAAA